This is a small nucleolar RNA of Coffea eugenioides, 107 nucleotides long. Lineage: Eukaryota; Viridiplantae; Streptophyta; Magnoliopsida; Gentianales; Rubiaceae. The record is from RefSeq and is a predicted model, not a curated record.
AGUCCAUGAUGUGGAUACCUCUAAAACAACUUUCUAAACCAUUCCCAAGAUUCACACAACGAUUCACUAUCAAAUUGACUAAAACUAGUGAUAUCUAUUCUAAGCUU